GACGGAGGGUGCUAGCGUUGUUCGGAAUUACUGGGCGUAAAGGGCGCGUAGGCGGCUACGGCAGUCGGGUGUGAAAGCCCGGGGCUCAACCCCGGAACGGCACCCGAUACUCUGUGGCUCGAGACCGGGAGAGGAGGGUGGAAUACCCAGUGUAGAGGUGAAAUUCGUAGAUAUUGGGUGGAACACCGGUGGCGAAAGCGGCUCUCUGGCCCGGUUCUGACGCUGAGGCGCGAAAGCGUGGGGAGCAAACAGG
This 253-nucleotide ribosomal RNA is filed under the name uncultured bacterium. Its description in RNAcentral is "partial 16S ribosomal RNA". It matches the Rfam family "Bacterial small subunit ribosomal RNA", at positions 524 to 776 of the family's 1533-position model. The record is from RNAcentral.